This is a transfer RNA of 75 nucleotides. It matches the Rfam family "tRNA". From Rfam's summary of the family: Transfer RNA (tRNA) molecules are approximately 80 nucleotides in length.
GGCCCCAUAGUUCAAUGGAUAGAACAAGGCACUCCUAACGCCUAGAUGUAUGUUCGACUCAUGCUGGGGUCACAA